Molecule: transfer RNA, 75 nt
Filed under: Flavobacterium sp. MFBS3-15
Lineage: Bacteria; Pseudomonadati; Bacteroidota; Flavobacteriia; Flavobacteriales; Flavobacteriaceae
Description: tRNA-His
Rfam family: tRNA
About the family: Transfer RNA (tRNA) molecules are approximately 80 nucleotides in length. Their secondary structure includes four short double-helical elements and three loops (D, anti-codon, and T loops).
Source: RNAcentral
GGUGCUUUUAGUUUAAGCGGUAAAAUCCCGGAUUGUGGUUCCGGAGUUCGCGGGUUCGAUUCCCCGAAAGCACCC